RNAcentral lists this ribosomal RNA (486 nucleotides) under uncultured bacterium. RNAcentral's name for it is "partial 16S ribosomal RNA". It matches the Rfam family "Bacterial small subunit ribosomal RNA", at positions 899 to 1397 of the family's 1533-position model. The record is from RNAcentral.
ACUCAAAUGAAUUGACGGGGGCCCGCACAAGCAGCGGAGCGUGCGGUUCAAUUCGAUGCGACACGAAGAACCUUACCAGGGUUUGACAUGCAUGUGGUAGGAAAGAGAAAUCGGACCGACUCGCAAGAGAGCAUGCACAGGUGAUGCAUGGCUGUCGUCAGCUCGUGCCGUGAGGUGUUGGGUUAAGUCCCGCAACGAGCGCAACCCUUGCUGCUAGUUACAAGUGUCUAGCAGGACUGCCGGAUUAUUUCCGGAGGAAGGCGGGGAUGACGUCAAGUCAGCAUGUCCUUUAUAUCCUGGGCUACACGCACGCUACAAUGGGCGUUAUAAUGCGUUGCCAAGCCGCGAGGCGGAGCUAAUCGCACAAAAGCGCCCUCAGUUCAGAUUGCAGGCUGCAACCCGCCUGCAUGAAGUCGGAGUUGCUAGUAAACGCGCGUCAGCCAUAGUGCGUUGAAUACGUUCCCGGGCCUUGUACACACCGCCCGU